Molecule: ribosomal RNA, 500 nt
Filed under: uncultured bacterium
Lineage: Bacteria
Description: partial 16S ribosomal RNA
Rfam family: Bacterial small subunit ribosomal RNA
Source: RNAcentral
AUUGAACGCUGGCGGAAUGCUUUACGCAUGCAAGUCGAACGGCAGCACGGACUUCGGUCUGGUGGCGAGUGGCGAACGGGUGAGUAAUGUAUCGGAACGUGCCCAGUCGCGGGGGAUAACGAUGGGAAAUUUACGCUAAUACCGCAUACGAUCUAUGGAUGCAAGCGGGGGAUGGCAAGACCUCGCGCGAUUAGAGCGGCCGAUAUCAGGUUAGGUAGUUUGUGGGGUAAAGGCCCACUAAGACAACGAUCUGUAGCUGGUCUGUGAGGACGACAAGCGACACUGGAACUGAGACACGGGCCAGACUCCUACGGGAGGGAGCAGUGGGGAAUUUUGGGCAAGGGGCGAAAGCCUGAUCCAGCCAUUCCGCGUGCAGGAUGAAGGCCCUCGGGUUGUAAACUGCUUUUGUACAGAACGAAAAGGUUUCUACUAAUACUAGGAGGUCAUGACGGUACUGUAAGAAUAAGCACCGGCUAACUACGUGCCAGCAGCCGCGGUAA